CUGUCCUACGGGGGGCAGCAGUGAGGAAUAUUGGUCAAUGGGAGAGAUCCUGAACCAGCCAAGCCGCGUGAGGGAGGAAGGCGCAGAGCGUCGCAGACCUCUUUUGCCGGGGGACAAAAGGCCGGACGGGUCCGGUUCUGAGGGUACCCGGAGAAAAAGCAUCGGCUAACUCCGUGCCAGCAGCCGCGGUAAUACGGAGGAUGCGAGCGUUAUCCGGAUUCAUUGGGUUUAAAGGGUGCGCAGGCGGGCCUUUAAGCCGGC
Molecule: ribosomal RNA, 261 nt
Filed under: uncultured bacterium
Lineage: Bacteria
Description: partial 16S ribosomal RNA
Rfam family: Bacterial small subunit ribosomal RNA
Source: RNAcentral